GACCUGGCUCAGGAUGAACGCUAGCUACAGGCUUAACACAUGCAAGUCGAGGGGAAACGACAUCGAAAGCUUGCUUUUGAUGGGCGUCGACCGGCGCACGGGUGAGUAACGCGUAUCCAACCUGCCCACCACUUGGGGAUAACCUUGCGAAAGUAAGACUAAUACCCAAUGACAUCCCACGAAGACAUCUGAAUGGGAUUAAAGNUUUAUCGGUGAUGGAUGGGGAUGCGUCUGAUUAGCUUG
This 243-nucleotide ribosomal RNA is filed under the name uncultured bacterium. Its description in RNAcentral is "partial 16S ribosomal RNA". It matches the Rfam family "Bacterial small subunit ribosomal RNA", at positions 16 to 248 of the family's 1533-position model. The record is from RNAcentral.